RNAcentral lists this ribosomal RNA (448 nucleotides) under uncultured bacterium. Its description in RNAcentral is "bacterial SSU rRNA". It matches the Rfam family "Bacterial small subunit ribosomal RNA", at positions 330 to 793 of the family's 1533-position model. The record is from RNAcentral.
UCCAGACUCCUACGGGAGGCAGCAGUGGGGAAUAUUGGGCAAUGGGCGCAAGCCUGACCCAGCAACGCCGCGUGAAGGAAGAAGGCUUUCGGGUUGUAAACUUCUUUUAAGAGGGAAGAGUAGAAGACGGUACCUCUUGAAUAAGCCACGGCUAACUACGUGCCAGCAGCCGCGGUAAUACGUAGGGGGCAAGCGUUAUCCGGAUUCACUGGGUGUAAAGGGAGCGUAGACGGCGACGCAAGUCUGGAGUGAAAGCCCGGGGCCCAACCCCGGGACUGCUCUGGAAACUGCGUCGCUGGAGUACGGGAGGGGCAGGCGGAAUUCCUGGUGUAGCGGUGAAAUGCGUAGAUAUCAGGAGGAACACCGGCGGCGAAGGCGGCCUGCUGGACCGUGACUGACGUUGAGGCUCGAGAGCGUGGGGAGCAAACAGGAUUAGAUACCCCUGUAC